Molecule: ribosomal RNA, 433 nt
Filed under: uncultured bacterium
Lineage: Bacteria
Description: partial 16S ribosomal RNA
Rfam family: Bacterial small subunit ribosomal RNA
Source: RNAcentral
AAUGAACGCUGGCGGCAGGCCUAACACAUGCAAGUCGAGCGAGCAUUUCGGUGCUAGCGGCGGACGGGUGAGUAACGCGUGGGAACGUGCCCUUUUCUGCGGAAUAGUCCUGGGAAACUGGGGGUAAUACCGCAUACGCCCUUUUGGGGAAAGAUUUAUCGGAGAAGGAACGGCCCGCGUUGGAUUAGGUAGUUGGUGGGGUAAUGGCCCACCAAGCCGACGAUCCAUAGCUGGUUUGAGAGGAUGAUCAGCCACACUGGGACUGAGACACGGCCCAGACUCCUACGGGAGGCAGCAGUGGGGAAUCUUAGACAGUGGGGGCAACCCUGAUCGAGCCAUGCCGCGUGAGUGAUGAAGGCCUUAGGGUUGUAAAGCUCUAUCAGCUGGGAAGAUAAUGACGGUACCAGCAGAAGAAGCCCCGGCUAACUCCGUG